UGUGACGAAAUUGGUAGACGUAGCGGAUUCAAAAUCCKMCGCGYGUCSGUGUCGGGGUUUUUCAAGUAAACCACCUUCGGUACCCACCA
This 89-nucleotide transfer RNA is filed under the name Histophilus somni. RNAcentral's name for it is "tRNA-Leu". The record is from RNAcentral. Lineage: Bacteria; Pseudomonadati; Pseudomonadota; Gammaproteobacteria; Pasteurellales; Pasteurellaceae.